This is a long non-coding RNA of Gasterosteus aculeatus aculeatus (three-spined stickleback), 3586 nucleotides long. NCBI's taxonomy places the organism in Eukaryota, Metazoa, Chordata, Actinopteri, Perciformes, Gasterosteidae. The record is from Ensembl.
CGUCUCGCGAUAGAGGACCCAAAGGAUCCGACCCGUCUCGCGCUGGGAGGACCCAAAGGAUCCGACCCGUCUCGUGAUAGAGGACCCAAAGGAUCCGACCCGUCUCGUGAUAGAGGACCGAACGAUCCGACCCGUCUCGCGCUGGGAGGACCCAAAGGAUCCGACCCGUCUCGUGAUAGAGGACCCAAAGGAUCCGACCCGUCUCGUGAUAGAGGACCCAAAGGAUCCGACCCGUCUCGCGCUGGGAGGACCCAAAGGAUCCGACCCGUCUCGCGCUGGGAGGACCCAAAGGAUCCGACCCGUCUCGCGAUGGGAGGACCCAAAGGAUCCGACCUGUCUCUCUCCCGUCUGGUUGGAGAAGGUUGUUGACCUGUUGCUUCCUCUUUGCAGACGUCCGGCCCAGAAGAGGUUGCAGCGCCGGAGCUGACUGAUGUGGAGGCCAAUGAGCAGCCGGUUGAGAGCGAGGCCCCGCCCACUGCAGACCCUGAUUCUGAGAAUCCAAACGAGGAGGAAAAGGAGACAUCUGAGAGGUCAGAGGCCGUUGAUCUCACAUCCUCUCUGGAGGCUGAAGACCAGACGACCCCCCCGGAGCCCCCCAAUGACUCUGGUAACUGUUAGAGACGGAAUAUGCUUAAUACAUGUAUAGGAGUUUUCAGUUUCAGCCAGCGAACUUCAACAUAUUGUUCCAUAAUGGUCUCAUUUUGUAUUUGUAUGUAUUAUAAAUUAUGAAUAUUCUUGUUCAGUUGGUUCAGUAACAAACACGUUGAGCUCUAAAAGUACCUGAAUACCAACGUUUUAUCACAUAAAACAUUUUCUAUGUUAGACCUUGAAUGGUUAAACACAGUAUUUUCUAAUCCCGCAGUAGCACAUAUUAAUAUACAUGUUAAUAAAUAAACAUUUUUCAACGCAUAAUCUAGGUUUUUAUCAGUGAAAAUUUGCAAAACGUCUCUGGUAAGCGUGCAAAUGAUGACCUGCAUCAUUCUAAGGAGUCCAUUCAUAGAGAGUUAGUGAUCUACGGUUUAUUUACAUCAGUUUUUGUCUAAAAGGAAUGAAUCAUUAGUCCUCAAUCCUUUAUCUACUAAGUCGCCUGAUCAGCUACACUGGGAUCGAUUGCUUCGGUCUUCGCCGGCACAUUCCGGCAACACGCGUGUUUCCUCUCAUUCUAGUAAACGCGUUUACUGAGGAACACAAAAUCACUCCUGUGAUUAUUUCGGCCCAUUUGCAGAAAUGGUGACGGCCUCCGGAGACCCUGAAGUCUCCAUCGUCCUCAACAUCGAGGACACCGACCCGACCCAGCCACGAUCCAGCCAGCCGCCCCCCGAGGAAGACCUUUCCAAAACCCCCUCGAAGAAGAAGAAGAAAAAGAAGAGCAAAGAGGAGGCGGAGGCACCGAGCACCGACUCGUCCACCGUAGACGCACCCAGCGACGCUCCUCUCGCCGCCAAGACCGCCAAAAAGAUGAAGAGAGACAAACGGAGGGCCGAGGGGAAGCAGACGGAAGAAAAGGAGGAGGCAGAUCAGACGAUAGAGGAGGCGGAUGCCUCUUUGGCCACUUCACCGGAGGAGGAGAAGAAGAAGAAGAAGAAGGCUAAGAAAAGGAAGAUGGAGCAAGAGGUAGCGGAGGAGAAGGAAGAGGUCACGCCUUCAGAGAAGAAAAUCAAAAAGAAGAAGAAGAAGGUAACAGAAGAGAAGAGCGAGGCCGUAGAAGUGGAGUGCAGCUUGUCCUCGAGUCCAGCCAAGACAAAGAAGAAGAAACCGUCUAAGGAAACACCAGCAGGGGGCAACACAGACACAGACAAGGAUCAGGAGUCCACAGAUGCAAGCUCAUCGACUAAGAAUCGCCGUUUCAGGAAGAAACACAGCCUCGUGAAAAGGUUGCAACACCGUAGAAAAAAGAUAAUGAAGAUGAGACAAAAGGCGACCGCGGAGGAGACGCCCCAAGGUGACCCCGCCCAGAAGAGCGACGACACACCAAAGAAGAAGAAGAAGAUGAUUAAAAUGAACGGAGAGCAAGAAGAGAAUUCCUCAAAGGAAAACCAACCGCCGAAGAAGAAAAAGAAGAAGCAAACAGAGGAGGAGGAGGAAAAGGAGGAGAGCUCCGGACCUCCUGAGACGGCAUCGACUCCACUUCCAAAGGAAGGCAAGAAGAAGAAGAAGAUGAUGAUCAUGGCUGAAGAAGGCGAGGAGACGACUGACAGCCCCAUGCCCGUCACUUCUGCAAAGAAAAAGAAGAGGAACCGGUCGGAGGAGACGGAACCGGCUGCAGAGGAACAAACUCCUCCCGCUGCGAAGAAAAAGAAAACCCCCAAAAAGAUAAAAAUCGCCUCAGACGAUCUCUGAGCAAAUCUCGGAUUCCUCUGACCCGUCGCUGCUGGACCUGAAAACCCCGAAACAAGACAAUCUCCUUCAUGUUUGUGCCUUUACACCUGAAAUAAUAACUGUUCUCAUAAAAGUAUAUUCCUAAAGGACACAAUGUUUACGGUCCCGUUUCACUGUCGUCUCCUUUUUAAAGCUUCCUCUGCGUUUUUAUCUCGAAGCAGAGCUGCUGCGGUGGGAAGAAGAUGCAUUUCGAGCUUCCUCGUAUUGCCAAAGUCAUUUUUGAGGCCCGUACUGAUCAAUUUCAAUAUAAUACAUUUCUGGAUGCAUUUAGCGGUGACUUAUUUAGCGGCAUCCGUUUGCGGUUGCUAUGGAAACGUGGAGCAGCUUGGUAUUUGGGGCUGCAAAGACAUUUUCAAUCAAAGGUUAUUCAGGGUUGGAUGUUCCGCCCUUCAGGGAUUGCUGCUACGCUGCAGCAUUUAAUAAAACAAAUGCCAUCUGCAUCCCAUGCAAACUAAGCGGUGACGAACGGAAGCGCUGAAUAUCUUACUGUCGUUAAAGGUGUCCUCCGUUUAGGAUGUGCGUUAAGGGAAAAGCUGUGAAACAGACAAGGUCUUUGAAUCAUCUUCUGUUGGUUUAUAAAUGGAUAGUUCAUGUAUUUGUAGUGAAGAGGCGAAAAAGUAUGUUUCGUCUCGAGGGAGAAACUCGUGUUUUUACUUUUUUAGUAAGCUGUGAAAUGUUUGUUUUCACACUGUUUCCUUAAAACCAUUAACUAUGCAUCUGUUAAAGGCUCUGGGAUGAAAUACUUACUUAUCUGUUCUGAGAACUAACACGUGUGAGACAAUAAAAACUCCCAAACGCUUUAAUUGUCUUUUGCUUUACACUUGACAGAAGCUUCAUUCUUCGGAAGCAGGACACUGAAUUUUGUCACUUCACCUCGACAAGUCGUAAACACGGAGCUGCGUUUCUGCUGGACGGACGUCCACAAACGUCACACUUAAACUAUGCAUGUCAUCACAUUGUGAAAAUAGUUUUGAGGCUCAGGGACUAGAACUCAGAUUUAUGUACAAACUACAUCACGCAACUAUUUGUAACCCGUAAAACCUUUUCAUUAACUGCAGUAAUUCACUCAUUUAAUAUUGAUUCAUCAAGCUGAGCCAACGGCGUCUGUUUGCAAAACUUCUGUCCUCCGUUACGAACAAUUUUAACGCUUUAAAAUGUUUACUCUUCCUCAUGUAAUUGUUUCUUUCAAUAAACACUUUCUCUUAAA